Molecule: ribosomal RNA, 467 nt
Filed under: uncultured bacterium
Lineage: Bacteria
Description: partial 16S ribosomal RNA
Rfam family: Bacterial small subunit ribosomal RNA
Source: RNAcentral
GACGAACGCUGGCGGCGUGCUUAACACAUGCAAGUCGAACGGAAAGGCCCUGCUUUUGUGGGGUGCUCGAGUGGCGAACGGGUGAGUAACACGUGAGUAACCUGCCCUUGACUUUGGGAUAACUUCAGGAAACUGGGGCUAAUACCGGAUAGGAGCUCCUGCUGCAUGGUGGGGGUUGGAAAGUUUCGGCGGUUGGGGAUGGACUCGCGGCUUAUCAGCUUGUUGGUGGGGUAGUGGCUUACCAAGGCUUUGACGGGUAGCCGGCCUGAGAGGGUGACCGGCCAAAUUGGACUGAGAUACGGCCCAGACUCCUACGGGAGGCAGCAGUGGGGAAUAUUGCACAAUGGGCGGAAGCCUGAUGCAGCAACGCCGCGUGCGGGAUGACGGCCUUCGGGUUGUAAACCGCUUUCGCCUGUGACGAAGCGUGAGUGACGGUAAUGGGUAAAGAAGCACCGGCUAACUACGUG